This 253-nucleotide ribosomal RNA is filed under the name uncultured bacterium. RNAcentral's name for it is "partial 16S ribosomal RNA". It matches the Rfam family "Bacterial small subunit ribosomal RNA", at positions 524 to 776 of the family's 1533-position model. The record is from RNAcentral.
UACGAAGGGGACUAGCGUUGCUCGGAAUCACUGGGCGUAAAGAGCGUGUAGGCGGCUAGGUAGGUCCGUUGUGAAAACUCGAGGCUCAACCUCGAGCUGUCGAUGGAAACCAUCUGGCUAGAGUCCGGAAGAGGAGAGUGGAAUUCCUGGUGUAGCGGUGAAAUGCGCAGAUAUCAGGAAGAACACCCGUGGCGAAGGCGGCUCUCUGGUACGUGACUGACGCUGAGACGCGAAAGCGUGGGGAGCAAACAGG